GGGUUGUGAGGUUAAGCGACUAAGCGUACACGGUGGAUGCCCUGGCAGUCAGAGGCGAUGAAGGGCGUGCUAAUCUGCGAUAAGCGCCGGUAAGGUGAUAUGAACCGUUAUAACCGGCGAUACCCGAAUGGGGAAACCCAGUGUGAUUCGUCACACUAUCAUUAACUGAAUCCAUAGGUUAAUGAGGCGAACCGGGGGAACUGAAACAUCUAAGUACCCCGAGGAAAAGAAAUCAACCGAGAUUCCCCCAGUAGCGGCGAGCGAACGGGGAGGAGCCCAGAGCCUGAAUCAGCAUGUGUGUUAGUGGAAGCGUCUGGAAAGGCGCGCGAUACAGGGUGACAGCCCCGUACACAAAAGCGCAUGUGCUGUGAGCUCGAUGAGUAGGGCGGGACACGUGGUAUCCUGUCUGAAUAUGGGGGGACCAUCCUCCAAGGCUAAAUACUCCUGACUGACCGAUAGUGAACCAGUACCGUGAGGGAAAGGCGAAAAGAACCCCGGCGAGGGGAGUGAAAAAGAACCUGAAACCGUGUACGUACAAGCAGUGGGAGCACCCUUUGGGUGUGACUGCGUACCUUUUGUAUAAUGGGUCAGCGACUUAUAUUCUGUAGCAAGGUUAACCGAAUAGGGGAGCCGGAGGGAAACCGAGUCUUAAUUGGGCGUUAAGUUGCAGGGUAUAGACCCGAAACCCGGUGAUCUAGCCAUGGGCAGGUUGAAGGUUGGGUAACACUAACUGGAGGACCGAACCGACUAAUGUUGAAAAAUUAGCGGAUGACCUGUGGCUGGGGGUGAAAGGCCAAUCAAACCGGGAGAUAGCUGGUUCUCCCCGAAAGCUAUUUAGGUAGCGCCUCGUGAAUUCAUCUCCGGGGGUAGAGCACUGUUUCGGCUAGGGGGCCAUCCCGGCUUACCAACCCGAUGCAAACUGCGAAUACCGGAGAAUGUUAUCACGGGAGACACACGGCGGGUGCUAACGUCCGUCGUGAAGAGGGAAACAACCCAGACCGCCAGCUAAGGUCCCAAAGUCAUGGUUAAGUGGGAAACGAUGUGGGAAGGCCCAGACAGCCAGGAUGUUGGCUUAGAAGCAGCCAUCAUUUAAAGAAAGCGUAAUAGCUCACUGGUCGAGUCGGCCUGCGCGGAAGAUGUAACGGGGCUAAACCAUGCACCGAAGCUGCGGCAGCGACACUGUGUGUUGUUGGGUAGGGGAGCGUUCUGUAAGCCUGUGAAGGUGUGUCGUGAGGCAUGCUGGAGGUAUCAGAAGUGCGAAUGCUGACAUAAGUAACGAUAAAGCGGGUGAAAAGCCCGCUCGCCGGAAGACCAAGGGUUCCUGUCCAACGUUAAUCGGGGCAGGGUGAGUCGACCCCUAAGGCGAGGCCGAAAGGCGUAGUCGAUGGGAAACGGGUUAAUAUUCCCGUACUUGGUGUUACUGCGAAGGGGGGACGGAGAAGGCUAUGUUGGCCGGGCGACGGUUGUCCCGGUUUAAGCGUGUAGGUGUGUGUUCCAGGUAAAUCCGGUUCACUUUAACACUGAGGCGUGACGACGAGGCACUACGGUGCUGAAGCAACAAAUGCCCUGCUUCCAGGAAAAGCCUCUAAGCAUCAGGUAACAUCAAAUCGUACCCCAAACCGACACAGGUGGUCAGGUAGAGAAUACCAAGGCGCUUGAGAGAACUCGGGUGAAGGAACUAGGCAAAAUGGUGCCGUAACUUCGGGAGAAGGCACGCUGACACGUAGGUGAAGUGAUUUACUCAUGGAGCUGAAGUCAGUCGAAGAUACCAGCUGGCUGCAACUGUUUAUUAAAAACACAGCACUGUGCAAACACGAAAGUGGACGUAUACGGUGUGACGCCUGCCCGGUGCCGGAAGGUUAAUUGAUGGGGUCAGCGCAAGCGAAGCUCCUGAUCGAAGCCCCGGUAAACGGCGGCCGUAACUAUAACGGUCCUAAGGUAGCGAAAUUCCUUGUCGGGUAAGUUCCGACCUGCACGAAUGGCGUAAUGAUGGCCAGGCUGUCUCCACCCGAGACUCAGUGAAAUUGAACUCGCUGUGAAGAUGCAGUGUACCCGCGGCAAGACGGAAAGACCCCGUGAACCUUUACUAUAGCUUGACACUGAACAUUGAGCCUUGAUGUGUAGGAUAGGUGGGAGGCUUUGAAGUGUGGACGCCAGUCUGCAUGGAGCCGACCUUGAAAUACCACCCUUUAAUGUUUGAUGUUCUAACGUGGACCCGUUACCCGGGUUGCGGACAGUGUCUGGUGGGUAGUUUGACUGGGGCGGUCUCCUCCUAAAGAGUAACGGAGGAGCACGAAGGUUGGCUAAUCCUGGUCGGACAUCAGGAGGUUAGUGCAAUGGCAUAAGCCAGCUUGACUGCGAGCGUGACGGCGCGAGCAGGUGCGAAAGCAGGUCAUAGUGAUCCGGUGGUUCUGAAUGGAAGGGCCAUCGCUCAACGGAUAAAAGGUACUCCGGGGAUAACAGGCUGAUACCGCCCAAGAGUUCAUAUCGACGGCGGUGUUUGGCACCUCGAUGUCGGCUCAUCACAUCCUGGGGCUGAAGUAGGUCCCAAGGGUAUGGCUGUUCGCCAUUUAAAGUGGUACGCGAGCUGGGUUUAGAACGUCGUGAGACAGUUCGGUCCCUAUCUGCCGUGGGCGCUGGAGAACUGAGGGGGGCUGCUCCUAGUACGAGAGGACCGGAGUGGACGCAUCACUGGUGUUCGGGUUGUCAUGCCAAUGGCACUGCCCGGUAGCUAAAUGCGGAAGAGAUAAGUGCUGAAAGCAUCUAAGCACGAAACUUGCCCCGAGAUGAGUUCUCCCUGAGACUUAAAGUCUCCUGAAGGAACGUUGAAGACGACGACGUUGAUAGGCCGGGUGUGUAAGCGCAGCGAUGCGUUGAGCUAACCGGUACUAAUGAACCGUGAGGCUUAACCUUACAACGCCGAAG
This 2925-nucleotide ribosomal RNA is filed under the name Salmonella enterica subsp. enterica serovar Enteritidis. Its description in RNAcentral is "23S ribosomal RNA". It matches the Rfam family "Bacterial large subunit ribosomal RNA". The record is from RNAcentral. Lineage: Bacteria; Pseudomonadati; Pseudomonadota; Gammaproteobacteria; Enterobacterales; Enterobacteriaceae.